Molecule: ribosomal RNA, 301 nt
Filed under: uncultured bacterium
Lineage: Bacteria
Description: partial 16S ribosomal RNA
Rfam family: Bacterial small subunit ribosomal RNA
Source: RNAcentral
CAGCACCGCGGGAAUACGAAGGGUGCAAGCGUUAAUCGGAAUUACUGGGCGUAAAGCGCACGCAGGCGGUUUGUUAAGUCAGAUGUGAAAUCCCCGAGCUUAACUUGGGAACUGCAUUUGAAACUGGCAAGCUAGAGUCUUGUAGAGGGGGGUGGAAUUCCACGUGUAGCAGUGAAAUGCGUAGAGAUGUGGAGGAACACCGAUGGCGAAGGCAGCCCCCUGGGCCAAUACUGACACUGAGGCACGAAAGCGUGGGGAGCAAACAGGAUUAGAUACCCGAGUAGUCCCUGUCUAUUAUACC